RNAcentral lists this long non-coding RNA (6187 nucleotides) under Sus scrofa (pig). RNAcentral's name for it is "lncRNA (ENSSSCG00065006474.1)". The record is from RNAcentral. Lineage: Eukaryota; Metazoa; Chordata; Mammalia; Artiodactyla; Suidae.
CUCAGACGAUGUAGGGAAAUCGCAGAUCUGCUGUGGGGCUCAGGGGCUUCACCCUGUGUCGGACUGUGAGUUAUCUGCGUGCUCUACCCGGGGGAGAACCUUGCCGGGAGAUGAAAGUAGGUCACCAGGCGGUGAAAGGGGCAGGAGACUUGACCGAGGAUAACGAGGCUUGAGAGCUGGGUUAAACCCGGGCGCCAGCGCUGUUGGUGCCGCUUCUACGAACAUGGUGACCCAGUUUGAAAAGGCUACUUUUUAAGAGACGACUUGGGGCAGAGAAAAUCUGCAUAAGUAGGAGUCAAAAAUCCAUCAAAACGAUGCUGAAACUCUGUUUGGUUUUGUUUUUUUGGUUUUUUGUUUUUGGCUGCACCCAUGACAUGCAGAAGUCAGAAGUUCCCAGGCAUUAAACCCAAAUCCACACCAUCUCAGUGACCCAAACCAUGACGUGAUAACUGCUGAGCUGCCAGGGGACCCCACUGAGUUCUUGACUGCAACACUGUAGCACUUCGGGGCUGGGCAGGAUUGUUCUGAAUGUUAAUCGAGAUAAGGUGCGUGAAGUAGGUGAGACCAUACCUAGCACAUGGAGAGGUAUUCAGUUGGAAGAGCCUUCACCCAUGAGGAGUACUGAAUAAAUAGACUUCGCCAUCAUUCUCCAAAGAGGUUGGGAAGGAACCACUCAUGAGGAAAGCCUGGAGGGUACAAAUUGUCAGAAUGAAGUAUGGUCCUUUGUUCAGAAUCAGAAGAGUUACCCACUCAAAUCAUAAAAUACCAGAUGAAGCUCACUUCACUAAGCAGGGGUGAGCAAAUGGAAAGAAGAAAGACAUGGUGACACUGAAAAUGCCCAAGAUGUAAUCUCUCCAGGUUAAAUGAAGGCCAAGUUCAUUUGGGAUCCCAGAGGUCAUACUUUUGCCAAAGUGUGCUUUGUAUUAGCACAGAAAAGAGUUAGAGCUUUUCUUCAAAAAUUAAAAUGAAAUAGAAUGAGAUUGAUAGGGUAAUGCAGAAUAAUCUGCCUGCGUUUAUGGCUGGUUAUUUAUACUUGAGUGUCAGGAGAGCAACUCAAAGUUAUUUAAUUAGGAGAGUGCAGAAACCAACCCAACAUCAUUAAAUAUAUUAUGAAAGAAAUAAACAUGAAUUAAAUAAUUGCAUUAUAUCUUAAGUGUGCUAUCCUUUGGAGAGGAAUGAGGUAGUUAUGCUCUUUGAUAAAGCCCUGAAGUCUCUGCUGUCCUCAUACAAGGAGUAGGCUGCUGACUCACUAUGAGCUUUGAGAACUUUUCCAGGAGAAAGAAUAGUUUUUUUGUUGCACAGUCCUCAUGAACUUGCCUGGUACCCCUGCUGAUUAAUGGCAUUUAUUCCCUCAGAGAGCUGCCUGAGGCUGAAGGCAGAGCUCUGACAUUGAGACAGAGCUAACCUAACUGGCUCUCAUGGGGAUUGAUCGCAUGCCUGACCUUUCACUAGUGUUCUAAGCAUUUGAGUUAACUGGGUGUGCCUCCCCUGCAAAUAGGUCUCAGCCAUUCCAUAAAGGGGAAGAUGGCAUUCUCAGAUAUUGGGUUUUGGGCACUGUACCUUUAAGACAAGUUAAGGUUUACUUUUAAAGCUGUGGGACCAUCUAAAGAGAAGCCCUGUAUGGUCAUAAACUAUUCAUGUAAGUUAUCAUGUUUCUAGUACUACCUACUUUCUAGUUCUCUUGCCUUGUUUCAUCACCACCCGUCUCAUCUUGACAACUUUGAUAUCAGACCUACCUUCAAUUUUUUUUCUUCCAUUCACUCUCUCAUCCUGGACAUGAUGCCUAGUCUUACUGAUUUGAUAUCUGACCUUGACUGGCCCUGACUCCCCUUUCCCUACUUGUAUUAGAGGUGGGUGUUGGCAUUAGGCAUGUUUGUCAGUAUCUCUUCUUGAUUCCAUCCCCUGCCCCCAUUUUUGGCUUUGCUCUUUUUGUGAAAACAUCUGUCACUCUAAGAGGUUCCACUCUGUGAUGCAAAGCUAAAGGCAGGACAGGGACUAAAAUGGCUCCAACAGAUGAAGUCUGAUAUAUUGUAAGCCUGAGAGAACCAUACUCUAUCAUCUUGGCACCCACGCUGCAAGAGGGGUAGUGCAUCUUCAUAUAGCUCAGAGAACUCUGAACCAAAGAGGUCAUUGCACCCAUUUCAGACUGUACCUCAACUGUGUCUCUUUCUUGAGAAAAAACAGAUGUGCCACUAUGCAUCGUUCAGGGUGAUCCAAUAGAAUAUCAAGUGUUUCAAAGUUAAGCAGACUUGAGAUUGGAUCUGGCUCUCCUCCUUGCUGUGUCAUCCUAGCAAACUGUGUCAUCUCAGUUGAGCUUCUUAACUUCUCUAAGCCUCAGUUUUUUCAUCUAUAAAAUGGGGACAUUAUAUCUACUUUAUAUUGUCAUUGCAAGAGAUAAAAGAAGUAAUGUACAUAAAAUACAGAAUAUUGCAUAUGGUGUUUAAUAAGGAGGAUUUACUACUUAUUAUUAUUAUUACCAUUAUUGCCAUGAUAAGGUCCUAAUGCUUAAAUUCUGGCAAGAAUUGGGAAACUUUCAAAUAUUCAGGCAGCUCAUUUCUUGAGCAAUGGGCCACAGGUUUCUUCCUGUACUAGGCUGGUUGAUCAGUGUUGUAAGCCACCAGUUGGCUUCCUGCCUGAACUUUUAAUCUUGUCCCCAUCUCAAUUUAAAGAGGGUGAGAAAGCAGAGACAUCAAUCGUUUCCUUGUCAAGGACAACAGCCUCUUCCUUCUUCCUUAGUUCUCUCCUGGGGCCCCAUCCACCCUGUGCCAAGGGAGGGGGCUCUCGCUGAAUACAAAUCGCCACGUGGUGGGGAGGCUUUGUGCCUCCACGGGAGCCUGGAGCACUUUCAGUGUCUGUGUAAGGCUGUGAUGAGUCCAAUCCAGUCCUCCCACCCCUCCUUGGGUUAAGUGCCCUGCCGCGUUCCCUAGUUUCUCUGUGUAGUGAUGUAACCAUGAGCAUGGCAGUUACCCAAGGUACUGGGACACAGACUUUAUUGAUUUGUUCUUCUAAUGCAUUAGGAGGAAACAGGAAACCUCAGGAAGGUCACAAACGACAAUUGUGCAUUGACUAGCACAGACAUUUCCUUCAUUCAGGAAAGCACGACUCAAGUGGCCUUGCUGUCAGAAAGGAAAGGAGACCAUAGACACGUGACUCAAAAAUGAAGAUGAUAAGCCUGGGCUGUAUCCGAAGGAAUCAGAAAGGACUGAAGUACCUCAUGCUCAAGCUCAGACUUGAGGGAGAGUCUUUGUUCAGUUACUGGCAAGGCCAGAUGCUCAAUCAAUGUAGCUAAACAAUAGGAUGAAGAAAUAAACUAGGCAGGAGUGUUCUCCUUAGGUCUUUGCUCUGUUGGUUCUCUAAGCAGCUCUCUAGCAUUCUCCCACCUGAUCCUGUGGUGACUUGUCCUUUCCAUCUCACCUUCAUGAUUUUUAAAGCUGAGAGUGCCAGGCAACUUUCCAUGCUUUCUCACUGCUCUCCCCAGGCUUCUCCUCCUCAUGAUCUCCCUUGGAGUCAUCCAUCAUUGAAAACUCACAGCAUGUUUGAAGUUGCCCUCACCGUCCCGUACCCUCUUUCCUUCCAGACCUGUGUUCUGAAUGUUUGGGGUCUGCCUCCCAUAUGUCUAGGUCGGCCUUGUCUUCCAUGUGGAGUCUAAGAGAUGAAAUCUUCUUUUGAGGAUUCUGGUUAUUCCAACUUUAUCAACCAAUUCUUGUUUUCCAGAGAGAAAUUAUUCCAAAAUAUCUGCUCCCCGUGUCAGUCCUCUAUCUUCUGAGAAAUGAAAUCUUCUGCAAAAUCAAGCCUUUCCAAAUGGUUGGCCUUUAAUCAUUUCAGGAAAUUCUGGAUAGGAUGCUAAGUUCCCUUCUAACCCCGUAAGUCUAUAUAAUUAAAGCCAAGUCUUUAGUCCAGGACUCAGUAGAAUAUUUACAUUUUUUUCUAGAAACAGUUUCAUACUGAUUACUAGAAACUGAAAAAUUACAGAGUUCCAAGAAGAGAUGUGCCUUCAAACUGUACUUUUGUUUAGGCUUUUGUGGGUUCUGUAUGGACAUUUAGUCUUUAAUCCUUGUUUGAGCAGCCAGUUGAAAUUUAAUCUUGGCAGCGAGAGAAGCAACAGAUAAGUGGUAUCUCUGACAAAUGACAUAUUGCGAGAGUUGACUCUUGGUCAUUGUGGAGACCAGGUAAGGACAGCCCAAGGCUUCUGUGGAGCUCACAUUUUCACACAAGCAUGAUUCCUCUCCCAACUCUGCCAGUCCCUCUCUCCAUAAUGUAGGCACAAGACAUAAAUGUUGUGGGCCACAGUAGACACAUGUUUCAAAAGGAUUGCUAAUAAACUAAUUUGGAGUUGCUUUGAAGAUUAAAUGAGACGGUGGAUUGUAAAUAGCUUAGCACAUGGUAAAUGCUCAAUGAACAUGUGUUUUUUUCUCCAAGGCUCCCUAAGAUGUCUAGCCAUUGGAAUGUAGUUUGAGUCCUAGAAUAAAAGAGCUAACAUUUCUUAACCACUAACGGUGUGCCAGGUAAUGUGUUAAGCAAUUUGAAAGUAGUAUUUUAUAUAUCUAGAUACAAUUAUUGUAUUUAUUUCUCAGACAAGAAGAGUCAAGCUCAGGGGGAUUAAAGAACUUUCCUUACAUUAUACAGCUAAUCACUAAUAAGAUUCACAUCUUGGACUUUCUCACUCCAGAACUCAUUCUCUCAAUCGCUUUGUUGUAAGGGCAUUUUAGAAUGAAAAAUCAGUGCUAUGACUUUAAUAAGCUAAAAAAACAAAAAAUAAACAAACAAAAAAACCCAGGGUAGAGUCCCUGGGGGAAUAUGGGUUGGAGGGUAGAGGUGGAAAUGCAGUAAAAUAAUAGAUUCCAGUAUCGAUCUAGUGAGCCAGGCUGAGGAGAAGGAGAUUAGUAGGAUUUGUAAAGUUGUUAUUAGUGUUUGCCAAAGAUGUUUGCCAUCUCCCACAUUCUUCUUGGGAAUGCAGCCUUUUGAAUAUAUUUCUGGAAAACAAGAGCACACCAAAAAAUCCUUCUUUUCUUCUUUCCCUUCUGAAAUUUUAAAAUCUUUUCAGCAUGGGGCACCACACCAGGUACUGAGGGUACAGAGGUAUGGAAAAUUAGGUGAGAUUUUAUAUUUGAUAUGUUUGAAUUACAGGUGCAGCACGUUCGAUCUGGAAAGGAAAGCCGGGGCAAGAUGUGGAUGAAUGUUGAGUCUACACUGAGGCAUCUUGGCUUGGACACCGUCCUUAUACACGGAGUUAUUUAGAAGGGCAGUGUUGUAAGUGCUGCCAUUUCCACAACUCACUUUGGACCAGUGAUGAUGCUAAAGUUUGUCCCUUAGUGACACCAAGAGGUUCAAGGAUGUGUUGAGAUGAAUACUCUAAAUUUGCAGGUGAAAAGUUUUGUCUCAUGCACAUAUGAGUUUGUUUUCUGAGGAGUAUGUCUAUAGCUUCAUUCUCAAGGGGUCAGUGACAGAAAAUGAUUGAAGUCAAAUACCAGUUAUUUCCAGAGGAAGAAAAAUGUGAGGAAAAUAUGUGAAGGUUGGUGAAGAAUACAGUCAAGAGAUGGGAUAAGCUGAGAUAGUGGCCAUGGGGAUGGAGCCAGCAGGUACCUGGGAUUGACCAUCAGUCAGCUAGAAGGUCAGAGAGAAGAAGGAUGAAGCUUCAAUGUCUCUUGAUAUUCUAGCCUAAGAGAUGGGUUAAUUCACCAAGAGGCGAAAUAUAAGUGAGGCUAUAGGCUUGGGCAGAGGCUAUAAACUUGUUUGGAGUAAUAAAUUUAGUAUCCGUUAUUGUAUGGAUUACUCUUUGAACUGAGAUUGCGGUGGUACUGUUUUUCUCUAUGAAGCUUAAAACUUGUAACAGGAAGUAUAAUUUAACUCAUUGCCAUACCAGGCAAGUCAGGGGGAACAUGCUGCUUUAAGAUUUGUCUUUCAAACACAAAAAGGACUGUUUUCAACUUACCGUUCCAAAAGGGGACAGUUUGAGGGGAGGGGCGGAUUGGGGCUGUGGGACUGGCAUAUGCACACGGUGGUAUAUGGAAGGGUUGGCCAAUAGGGACCUGCUGUAUAGCACAGGGACCUCUACCCAAUAUUCUGUGAUGUUGUAUGUGGAAAAAGAACCUGAAAAAGAAUGGAUGUGUAUAACUGACUCACUUUGUUGUAUAGCAAAAAUUACCACAACAUUGUAAAUCAACUAUACUUCAAUAAAACUUAAAAA